UACGAAGGGGGCUAGCGUUGCUCGGAAUUACUGGGCGUAAAGCGCACGUAGGCGGUCUUUUAAGUCGGGGGUGAAAUCCUGGAGCUCAACUCCAGAACUGCCUUCGAUACUGGAAGACUUGAGUUCGGGAGAGGUGAGUGGAACUGCGAGUGUAGAGGUGAAAUUCGUAGAUAUUCGCAAGAACACCAGUGGCGAAGGCGGCUCACUGGCCCGAUACUGACGCUGAGGCACGAAAGCGUGGGGAGCAAACAGG
Molecule: ribosomal RNA, 253 nt
Filed under: uncultured bacterium
Lineage: Bacteria
Description: partial 16S ribosomal RNA
Rfam family: Bacterial small subunit ribosomal RNA
Source: RNAcentral